This is a long non-coding RNA of Gasterosteus aculeatus aculeatus (three-spined stickleback), 376 nucleotides long. The record is from Ensembl. Lineage: Eukaryota; Metazoa; Chordata; Actinopteri; Perciformes; Gasterosteidae.
GAUGAAAGCAGAGGCAUGAGGCAAAGAUGAAAUGGACAGCUACAUCCUCACGGAAUCUGUGCAUGUUUACCAAAACACCAAAUGGAUAAGUAGCGGCCCUGAUGGUGGGAAACGGCCGGGGCUCCAACGGCUGAGUGGGCCUGCUGACAGACAGGCAGAUGUUCAAACAGAGUUCUUUUGUGAGGCAGGAGGCUGCUGUGUUUGGGCGCUUUUAAGCAGACACUGUGCGAUGGAGAUUAGAAGCAGGCUGUGUAACGAUGUAACGGUUUGGGGAUGUUUUGAUGUAGCUGAUUCCUUUGCAAUGUGAAUGGCAAUUUAAGCCAAUUGUUUUGUCUAAAGGGGAAAUGUGCCGGACCAAACCGCCUUACUGGUACAC